RNAcentral lists this ribosomal RNA (443 nucleotides) under uncultured bacterium. RNAcentral describes it as "partial 16S ribosomal RNA". It matches the Rfam family "Bacterial small subunit ribosomal RNA", at positions 338 to 795 of the family's 1533-position model. The record is from RNAcentral.
CCUACGGGUGGCUGCAGUGGGGAAUAUUGGGCAAUGGGCGCAAGCCUGACCCAGCAACGCUGCGUGAAGGAAGAAGGCCCUCGGGUUGUAAACUUCUUUUGUCAGGGACGAAACAAAUGACGGUACCUGACGAAUAAGCCACGGCUAACUACGUGCCUGCAGCCGCGGUAAUACGUAGGUGGCAAGCGUUAUCCGGAUUUACUGGGUGUAAAGGGCGUGUAGGCGGGAGAGAAAGGCAGAUGUGAAAUUCCAGGGCUCAACCCUGGAACUGCAUUUGAAACUGUUUUUCUUGAGUGAUGGAGAGGCAGGCGGAAGUCGGGGUGUAGCGGUGAAAUGCGUAGAUAUACGGAGGAACACCAGUGGCGAAGGCAGCCUGCUGGACAUUAACUGACGCUGAGGCGCGAAAGCGUGGGGAGCAAACAGGAUUAGAUACCCGUGUAGUC